CUCCUGGAAACGGGUGGUAAUGCCGGAUGUUCCAGUUGAUCGCAUGGUCUUCUGGGAAAGCUUUCGCGGUAUGGGAUGGGGUCGCGUCCUAUCAGCUUGACGGCGGGGUAACGGCCCACCGUGGCUUCGACGGGUAGCCGGCCUGAGAGGGCGACCGGCCACAUUGGGACUGAGAUACGGCCCAGGCUCCUACGGGAGGCAGCAGUGGGGAAUAUUGCACAAUGGGCGCAAGCCUGAUGCAGCGACGCCGCGUGAGGGAUGGAGGCCUUCGGGUUGUAAACCUCUUUUAUCGGGGAGCAAGCGUGAGUGAGUUUACCCGUUGAAUAAGCACCGGCUAACUACGUGCCAGCAGCCGCGGUAAUACGUAGGGUGCAAGUGUUAUCCGGAAUUAUUGGGCGUAAAGGGCUCGUAGGCGGUUCGUCGCGUCCGGUGUGGAAGUCCAUCGCUUAACGGUGGAUCCGCGCCGGGUACGGGCGGGCUUGAGUGCGGUAGGGGAGACUGGAAUUCCCGGUGUAACGGUGGAAUGUGUAGAUAUCGGGAAGAACACC
RNAcentral lists this ribosomal RNA (548 nucleotides) under uncultured Bifidobacterium sp. RNAcentral's name for it is "bacterial SSU rRNA". It matches the Rfam family "Bacterial small subunit ribosomal RNA", at positions 147 to 710 of the family's 1533-position model. The record is from RNAcentral. Lineage: Bacteria; Bacillati; Actinomycetota; Actinomycetes; Bifidobacteriales; Bifidobacteriaceae.